AGGACGAACGCUGGCGGCGUGCUUAGCACAUGCAAGUCGAGCGGAAAGGCCCUUCGGGGUACUCGAGCGGCGAACGGGUGAGUAACACGUGAGCAACCUGCCCUUAGCUUCGGGAUAGCUCCGGGAAACCGGAAUUAAUACCGAAUAUGACUUUGGCUGACAUCAGCAGAAGUGGAAAGUUUUUCGGCUAGGGAUGGACUCGCGGCCUAUCAGCUAGUUGGUGAGGUAACGGCCCACCAAGGCGACGACGGGUAGCCGGCCUGAGAGGGCGACCGGCCACACUGGGACUGAGACACGGCCCAGACUCCUACGGGAGGCAGCAGUGGGGAAUAUUGCGCAAUGGGCGAAAGCCUGACGCAGCGACGCCGCGUGGGGGAUGAAUGCCUUCGGGUUGUAAACCCCUUUCAGCAGGGACGAAGCGAAAGUGACGGUACCUGCAGAAGAAGCGCCGGCUAACUACGUGCCAGCAGCCGC
This 474-nucleotide ribosomal RNA is filed under the name uncultured bacterium. RNAcentral's name for it is "SSU rRNA". It matches the Rfam family "Bacterial small subunit ribosomal RNA", at positions 26 to 518 of the family's 1533-position model. The record is from RNAcentral.